CUGGCUCUAGCGGCGGUUGCUGGAACUCUUUCUGCACAUGCGCUUACCUGGCAGGCGGGAAGGGUGGCUGGGGAGCAAGAAGCUUGUGGGAACGUAAGGGAUUAAAUUGGAAUCCUGGGGUCGUGCAGCGAGGCGAUAGGGAAGGUCAGUGAUUCCUUACCCAGCCACGACUUUGUGUAGUUUUACCCCACGCGACGGUGCCUUUCAUCUUUCCAGAUCCAGUGUCGUGCCAGCUACCUGGGAAGGUUCCCUGGUUUCGCCCUUCUCAGAGUUCUGGGGGCCUCUGGUUUAACAUCACCUUGAGGGCCCCUGGUACGUCCCCCAAGGGUCCUCGGAUUCCUGAUGCUCUUGAGGGAACGCUUCUUACCAUUCUGCUGAUGAGCUUGAAUCCCGGAAGAACUCAGGUUGAGGCUUCAAAGCCUUACUCUACCUGGGGUAGCAGAAAAAUGCCUACAAACAACAGGGAAUAAAACGGUGUCAAGACAUCUAAAUUACAAGGAUGAUAACUGAGGUGUCUCCUAGUGACUUGGAAUACGCAAGUAUUUACUUACCUUAUCUAGAGAGAGAGCAGGUGGAGGUGGCAGGUAGAGGAAGGAAGAGGCAGAGGGAGAGAAAAUCUCAAGCAGGCUCCACACUGAGCAGAGAGCCCAAUGUGGAGUUUGAUCCCAGGACCCUGAGAUCAAGACCAGAGCUGAAACCAAGAGUUGGACACUCAACCAACGGAGCCACCCAGGUGCCCCUUCAUUAUGAUUUUCUUAGUAACAUUCUCUUUUCUCCUGCUUACUUUAUUAAGAAUAUAGUAUAUCUCAUAUAUAAUAUACAAAAUAUGUGUUAGUCAAUACUUACAUUAUCAGGAAGCCUUCUGAUCAACAGUAGUAGUUAAAUUUGGGGGGAAUUGAAAGUUGUAUGCACAUUUUCAACUGCAUGGGGGUUCAGUACCCCUAACCCCCACAUUAGGGACAAAUGUAUAUGAUCCAUGUUUUCAGUGGCCUUUAUGUAGUAAUUUAAUUUUAGAUUUAUUGGGCACAUAUGUUAGAUGACUAUAUAAGAAAAUAUCUUGAAGCCUAGCUGAGAGAAGAAUCUGUGGUGUAGCUUUUUCACAUACCUUCAGAAAAGGGUUCUAAAGAAAUAAAGAGAUGUCACACUCACAGUCUAAUUUUAGAAUGGUUGGAAUCAUCUUGCAACAAGAGACCAAGAUAUGUAUAAAACAUUUCAGGCAAGAUUUAACAUCAUGAGACAGUUUGGAUGCUUAUCACAAAGAAGUUGAAAGAAAAAAAUGAAGCCUCUAGUUUGAAUUGCAGAUUAUUUUUGGACAAUACAACCCUGGAAAUUAUUUCUGUCUAAGGAAUCCAAAACAAUUAUGCAAAUGAGGCUAGUACUUGCCAUUCUAUUUUGUUUAAGGUGAAUGGGGAUCAGUUCAACUAUUGUAAAUUUCCGUAAUAUCCACUGGCAGAAACAUCAUCACAUACAGGUUAAUGAGUUUAUUAAAAUGGAUGUUGGAAAAAUAAACAAUAUUUAUCUAUUAUUGAUAUGGGAUAGUCUCUCCUUAAUCAGUCUUUUAUUUUUUCAGUUUUAAUAUGAAGCUACUUUCUGACAUUUAAUGUUACCAAAUUGCUUCAGUUCCUGAGAGAUAUUAAUAUAACAUAAUAUAUUUUGUCAUUUCAGUAGAAGAUUCUGAGUAAGACCGGUCAGUUGAGAAGUCUGAAAGAAAUUAGUUCUAAGCUAUUUCCUCGUGACUGAAAUUGCAAAUGUCAGAUUCCAUUACAGGCAGCCAAGAGUAGAAGAGCUUCUCCCUCGCUUCAUCCCAGGGUAUCCCAGAAGCCUUUGUGCAGUGUUAAGCUUUAAAUAGCUUAAAACAGGACUAAGACUUUGGGACACUCUUAUCUUUAUUGAACGAACCCUGUGCUAACUACCGAAGACAUGAUUAUAAGCAGCACAGACAUACUAGCUGGUCUCAUGAAGCUUCUCAUCUCUUGAAGGUGUCAGACCAAUAAGUAAAUGCUUGCGAACAGCUACUGUGGAGAUGUUCCCAUUACUCUUGCUGCAUAACAAACUACAUGAGACUAUGCUUCAUGGACUCUGUGGGUCAAGAAUUCAGUCAGAGUGUGGCUGGGUGAUUCUUCUACUCCUGGAUCGACUGCAGUCACUCUGUGGGACUCAGCUGGUGGAUGGACUGGUCUAGAGGAUCCAAAUGGCCUUGCUCACAUGUUUGGUGGUGGGAGAGCCUAAAAGACUAGCUCACAUGGCACACACAACUGGAACACCCAUGCAUGGUGUUUCCAGCCUGGUGGUCUCUGGGUAACUGAAUUUCUUACAUAGGGACCAAGUACCCCCAGACCAUGUCUCAAGAAAAUUAGGUGGAAACUUCAUGACAUUUUUGGACCUAGCCUGGAAAGUCACACAAUAAAACUCACAGCAAUUUCUUGUUGGUUAACAAGGGAGUCAUAAGGUCAGCCUAGAUUCAAGGAGAAAGAAAUUGGAUUCUAUUUCUUGGUGUGGGAAUAGCAAAUUCACACUGUAGAAAACUUGUGAGAAGGGAGACACUAUUAUAGCCAUCUCUCUCUCUCUUUUUUUUUUUAAUUGUUAAAUAAUUUGUACUUAGAAUUAGCCAGCUGAACUAAGUUUAGAUGAUUCCACUUUUGUUGGCAACAUUCAAAGCACCAUAGUCAGGAGCUAAUUGAAUAGAUGCUUUAUUCUCUUCAUCAGGGUUGUUCAGAGUGUUGACCUUGACCCCAUCCAGGAUCAGUGUCAUAGAGCUUCUUCAUAGCCUGUUUGGUCUGGCACUUGUUGGUUUUGACAUCCACAAGGAAGAGAAGUGUGUUGUUGUCUUCUGUCUUCUUCAUGGCCGACUCAGUUGUCAGGGGGCUUGGUAUUGGCAUAGGGGUCAAACUUGUUUCUCCUGAGGUACUCUUCUAAGGCUAUUUGGGUUGUCUUUAGAAACAGUGUCUUAGGCUAUCAAAAGUUGGGUGAUAUGAAGAUCUUCUUUAUGACUAUCUUCAAAAAUACAACCUUCCAGAAAAAGAAAGAAAGAAAAAACAGUUGGAGGGAAAGAUUUUAUAGAACUAAAAGUAAGAAAGACAAUAGGAGGAAGACAAUGGAGACCUCCAGAGGCAGAGUAAAUACAUCUUGCAAAGGCCCUGUGGUGAAAAGGAAUUUGCCAAAUUUGAGAAACAAAACAAAACAAAAAACAGCUGGAGCUGGAGUUUGGAGAGUGAGGGAGAGGGUAAGUUUCAAAAAUCAGGUAGUAUCUUGCAAGCCAUGUUAAGAUGUCCAGACGCUCUAGUAAGAGCAGUGGGAACAAGAUGUUUCAGCAGAGAGUAGCAUGAUCUGAGGACUUGCGUGGAUCUUUCAUAAUAAAUUGGAGGGAUCAGUUCUGAUCCAGUUAGGAAAUGGUUGCAGUGUCCAUGCUGAUGAUGAGGGUGGCCUGAAUUAAUAUGGCAUACAGAUUUGAGUUUUAUUUAGAGACAUAAUUAAAAGAUCUUUCUGUGGAUUGAACAUAGGAGGAUAGGGAUUGUGAGAUGUAUUAGUUUCUGACAGCUGCUGUAACAAAUGUCGAAAGUGAAAUAAAAUGGAGUCAAUUUAUGUCAAGGGGUCUUAAAAUGGAGCCAGGAGGCCAUUAAGAAAAUGGGCCCUUUGCAUCCUCUUGCUGGGUAAAACCAUGAACUUUUGAACUGGGCCAAAUCGCAGCUAUUCCUAGGACUCUACAACUUGCUAUGGUAACAGAUUUCUGCUUGUGACAGCCUUAGCAACCAAGGUGUUUUCUUCCACCAACACCAAUCAAAAUCUUUAAAAAGAACGUAUACAAGCAUUCCAUACUGUCUUUAAAAACUCCAGGCUUCUAUUCUCUAAUGGGACACAACGUGGGUUACUACCUGAAUCUCUACUCCCCAAAUUAUAAUUCUGAGACCCCAAAUAAAUGCCCCUGUUUUUUUUAAAUGCCUCUGUUUUAUUUCAGCUCAGCCUCUUUUCUUGGUUUACACAAACUACCACAAAUUAAAUGGCUUAAAACAACAGAAACUUAUUUUCUCAUAGUUCUGGAGGCUAGACAUCUGAAAUCAAGAUGUCAGAGGGUCAUGCUUUC
RNAcentral lists this long non-coding RNA (4081 nucleotides) under Mustela putorius furo (domestic ferret). RNAcentral describes it as "lncRNA (ENSMPUG00000028089.1)". Lineage: Eukaryota; Metazoa; Chordata; Mammalia; Carnivora; Mustelidae. The record is from RNAcentral.